This is a long non-coding RNA of Solanum tuberosum (potato), 812 nucleotides long. RefSeq lists it as uncharacterized. The record is from RefSeq and is a predicted model, not a curated record. The transcript is spliced from 3 exons. NCBI's taxonomy places the organism in Eukaryota, Viridiplantae, Streptophyta, Magnoliopsida, Solanales, Solanaceae.
UUGACUACUAUGCAAAGAAGCUUACAUUGUUGAAUACAUAUGUAAUCUCUACUGCCAGAGUGAAAGUUUCACUACCUUCGUACGAAAGGAUAAUACUUAAAUUUUAUUGGGUGCUUGAUAAGGAAACUCUGAUCGAACAUAUCAAACCAAAUAACCAGCUUGAGAAAUCAAUGUUGCCACUGAUCAAGUUACUUACCACAGCUUUUGCCAAUAUUGCUCAACUGACUCCUGGUCCUAAUGCAGAAAUUGAUAUUGUAGCAGUUGUUCUCCGUUGUGGCCCUUCAAAAUAUGCAUGACGCACUCAAAAUAGGAUUCGCGAGGUUACUAUUUCUGAUGAUCAUCGAAACCAAUUUCUGCUUACUUUAUGGGACGACUUCGGGGAAAUUGAAGGAGCUGAAUUGGCAGCUCAAAUGGGAAAGGGUAAAGAGUUCCCUGUAAUGCUUGCAUGGAACAUUGGAAUCUCUGGUUAUCAAAGUAUGCGUGACUUACAUUGUUUUACUAAAAUCUCACUUUUUUAUACCAUACACUAUUACACUAUCAUUUCAUAUGUAUAGGUUUAUCCUUGCAAACCAGAUUCAACUCCACGAUACGCAUAAAUCCUACCUAUCUGCAAGCAUUACAAUUGAUCAGUUGGAAUUGACUUCUUACUAUACAUCUCUAGCUUUAGCGUGCCAUAAAAAACAUAUUUCGCAAUUUUUCUGUUGUCAUAAUAUGGCAAAGACAAACAAAGACGUGAUUUUGGGCAAUGUGUCGGGUAACUUCGCGGGAUCAUCCACUUCUCUUACCGUGAAUCAUGUUCACCAACGAAUCGU